GAGUUUGAUCAUGGCUCAGGAUGAACGCUAGCGGCAGGCCUAAUACAUGCAAGUCGAACGCUCAGUAGCAAUACUGGGAGUGGCGCACGGGUGCGUAACGCGUACACAAUCUACCUCUAAGCGGGGGACACCUCCUGGAAACGGGGAUUAAUACCGCAUAAUAUGCCGAAGUCGCAUGACUUUGGUAUUAAAGCAGCAAUGCACUUAGAGAUGAGUGUGCGUCCCAUUAGGUAGUUGGUGAGGUAACGGCUCACCAAGCCUAUGAUGGGUAGCCGGUCUGAGAGGAUGGUCGGCCACACGGGCACUGAGACACGGGCCCGACUCCUACGGGAGGCAGCAGUAAGGAAUAUUGGUCAAUGGUGGAAACACUGAACCAGCCAUGCCGCGUGGAGGAAUAAGGUCCUACGGAUUGUAAACUCCUUUUGACGAGGAAGAAAAUGUUAGAUUUAUCUAAUUUUGACGGUACUCGUAGAAUAAGCACCGGCUAACUCCGUG
Molecule: ribosomal RNA, 495 nt
Filed under: uncultured bacterium
Lineage: Bacteria
Description: bacterial SSU rRNA
Rfam family: Bacterial small subunit ribosomal RNA
Source: RNAcentral